UGGUGGUGGGAAUAUUGGCACAAUGGGGGGGAACCCUGAUGCAGCAACGCCGCGUGGAGGAUGACACAUUUCGGUGCGUAAACUCCUUUUAUAUAGGAAGAUAAUGACGGUACUAUAUGAAUAAGCACCGGCUAACUCCGUGCCAGCAGCCGCGGUAAU
RNAcentral lists this ribosomal RNA (159 nucleotides) under uncultured bacterium. Its description in RNAcentral is "partial 16S ribosomal RNA". It matches the Rfam family "Bacterial small subunit ribosomal RNA", at positions 350 to 524 of the family's 1533-position model. The record is from RNAcentral.